GGGGUUCUUUGAUAUGCCGAAUCUAACUGUGUAUGUAGAUUCUUAAUUUUUGGUCCCGUUUUCAAAUUGGUCUACAUUAAAGUCCAAAGGGUCCAAAAUUAAACUAAGUUUGAUUUUAACAAAAAUUGAAUUCUUGGGCUUCUUUGAUAUGCUGAAUCUAAACAUAUACUUAGAUUUUUGAUUAUGGGCCCAGUUUUCAAGUUGGU
This 206-nucleotide long non-coding RNA is filed under the name Mytilus galloprovincialis (Mediterranean mussel). Lineage: Eukaryota; Metazoa; Mollusca; Bivalvia; Mytilida; Mytilidae. The record is from RNAcentral.